UACAGAGGUCCCAAGCGUUGUUCGGAUUCACUGGGCGUAAAGGGUGCGUAGGCGGCGCGGUAAGUCGGGUGUGAAAUCUCGGGGCUUAACUCCGAAACUGCACUCGAUACUGCCGUGCUUGAGGACUGGAGAGGAGACUGGAAUUUACGGUGUAGCGGUGAAAUGCGUAGAUAUCGUAAGGAAGACCAGUGGCGAAGGCGGGUCUCUGGACAGUUCCUGACGCUGAGGCACGAAGGCCAGGGGAGCAAACGGG
Molecule: ribosomal RNA, 253 nt
Filed under: uncultured bacterium
Lineage: Bacteria
Description: partial 16S ribosomal RNA
Rfam family: Bacterial small subunit ribosomal RNA
Source: RNAcentral